This is a long non-coding RNA of Balaenoptera ricei (Rice's whale), 786 nucleotides long. RefSeq lists it as uncharacterized. The record is from RefSeq and is a predicted model, not a curated record. Lineage: Eukaryota; Metazoa; Chordata; Mammalia; Artiodactyla; Balaenopteridae. The transcript has 3 exons.
UGGAUCGGGGGAGGGGGAGGCGCGGGGAGCUCGCCGCGGCUCCUCACUGGGGCAGGGGAGAAGAUGCCCCCCACCCCUCUAGUUCGGCCUCUCCAUUCAAGUUCCCCGGACCCGGCCGCCUGGAUCCGGGGAUGGCAACAGCCGCCUGCCCGGCUCUGCGCCCUUUUUCCAGCCACCGCGCAGAAAUUUAGGUCAAGGACGUCGGGAUCAAAUCCAAACCCUGGCGCUCCUCGGGCAGCCGCCGAGACCCCUCAGGAUCGCGGGGCUUCAGGAUUGCGGAGACUCUCCCGCACAAACACCAGCCACAAGUUUUAUUUUCCUUUCGCGCUGGAAGUUCUCUCUGGCUCUCGCUCCGCACCGGCACGUCUUGCGCGGCUCCCCGCCCUUCCCCGGCAGAGGAUUAGGAUACAGUGGAAUACACUCAACACCAAAACUGCACCAAAUCCACUGUGGGUCUUUGAAAAAUAGACUAUUUGGAAAAUACCAACAUCAGCCAAACCCGGGAAGCCGGCUUUCAUGCCGUCAAGAUGCACAAGUAGCCUGCUGGAGAGGCCCACGUGGAGAAGAAUUGCAGUUUCCUGUCAGCAGCCCGAACUAACCUGCCAGGAUUGUGAGACAUCUUAAGGGUGCAUCUGCCAGCCCCAGCCAUGCCUUCAGAGGACAGCUACCCCAGCUCACGUCUCAACAACUUCCCGAGAGACCUGGAGCCAGAACCUCCCAGCUAAGCCACUCCCAAUUCCUGACCCUCAGAUACUGGGUGAGACAUUAAAUACUUGUUUGAAGCUA